Molecule: transfer RNA, 71 nt
Filed under: Marmota monax (woodchuck)
Lineage: Eukaryota; Metazoa; Chordata; Mammalia; Rodentia; Sciuridae
Description: tRNA.Ala
Source: RNAcentral
GUGGUUGUAGCUCAGUGGUAGAUUGCUUACCUAGCACAUGUGAGGCACUAGGUUCGAUCCUUAGCACCACA